AGAAAGUGUCACAAAUUAACGCAGAUCCAGGGACUCCCUGUUCUCAAAAGGGCGAAACUCCAGCCUUGGCAGUGGUUUGCAGUUUCGGUGUAGAGCUGCUUCUGUACCGCCAUGAAUGGAGGUGAGACUGGCGUGCAGGAGUCUGUCACCCGUGGACAGAGGCUCGAUGAGGGACAGAAACUGUGAGCGGGUCUCUCGGUGCCCCAGGAUGGACACACACAUGGCGAAGAAACCCUCGGGAUCCUCUCGACCCUCCAGUACUUCCCCUAACCACCAUUUAACUGUGGCUUGGGCAUCCGCUCCUGAAGGAGGCAUCUUCGAGUGAAAGGUGUCGGUUCACCUUUGGCUACAGGAUGCUCACUUUCUGUGCAGUGAGUGGAAGAAUCAAGGGCAGG
This is a long non-coding RNA of Oreochromis aureus, 395 nucleotides long. RefSeq lists it as uncharacterized. The transcript has 3 exons. NCBI's taxonomy places the organism in Eukaryota, Metazoa, Chordata, Actinopteri, Cichliformes, Cichlidae. The record is from RefSeq and is a predicted model, not a curated record.